UUAAGCGACUAAGCGUACACGGUGGAUGCCCUGGCAGUCAGAGGCGAUGAAGGACGUGCUAAUCUGCGAUAAGCGCCGGUAAGGUGAUAUGAACCGUUAUAACCGGCGAUUUCCGAAUGGGGAAACCCAGUGUGACUCGUCACACUAUCAUUAACUGAAUCCAUAGGUUAAUGAGGCGAACCGGGGGAACUGAAACAUCUAAGUACCCCGAGGAAAAGAAAUCAACCGAGAUUCCCCCAGUAGCGGCGAGCGAACGGGGAGGAGCCCAGAGCCUGAAUCAGCAUGUGUGUUAGUGGAAGCGUCUGGAAAGGCGCGCGAUACAGGGUGACAGCCCCGUACACAAAAGCGCAUGUGCUGUGAGCUCGAUGAGUAGGGCGGGACACGUGGUAUCCUGUCUGAAUAUGGGGGGACCAUCCUCCAAGGCUAAAUACUCCUGACUGACCGAUAGUGAACCAGUACCGUGAGGGAAAGGCGAAAAGAACCCCGGCGAGGGGAGUGAAAAAGAACCUGAAACCGUGUACGUACAAGCAGUGGGAGCACAGGUUUACCUGUGUGACUGCGUACCUUUUGUAUAAUGGGUCAGCGACUUAUAUUCUGUAGCAAGGUUAACCGUAUAGGGGAGCCGGAGGGAAACCGAGUCUUAAUUGGGCGUUAAGUUGCAGGGUAUAGACCCGAAACCCGGUGAUCUAGCCAUGGGCAGGUUGAAGGUUGGGUAACACUAACUGGAGGACCGAACCGACUAAUGUUGAAAAAUUAGCGGAUGACCUGUGGCUGGGGGUGAAAGGCCAAUCAAACCGGGAGAUAGCUGGUUCUCCCCGAAAGCUAUUUAGGUAGCGCCUCGUGAAUUCAUCUCCGGGGGUAGAGCACUGUUUCGGCUAGGGGGCCAUCCCGGCUUACCAACCCGAUGCAAACUGCGAAUACCGGAGAAUGUUAUCACGGGAGACACACGGCGGGUGCUAACGUCCGUCGUGAAGAGGGAAACAACCCAGACCGCCAGCUAAGGUCCCAAAGUCAUGGUUAAGUGGGAAACGAUGUGGGAAGGCCCAGACAGCCAGGAUGUUGGCUUAGAAGCAGCCAUCAUUUAAAGAAAGCGUAAUAGCUCACUGGUCGAGUCGGCCUGCGCGGAAGAUGUAACGGGGCUAAACCAUGCACCGAAGCUGCGGCAGCGACGCUUAUGCGUUGUUGGGUAGGGGAGCGUUCUGUAAGCCUGUGAAGGUGGCCUGUGAGGGUGGCUGGAGGUAUCAGAAGUGCGAAUGCUGACAUAAGUAACGAUAAAGCGGGUGAAAAGCCCGCUCGCCGGAAGACCAAGGGUUCCUGUCCAACGUUAAUCGGGGCAGGGUGAGUCGACCCCUAAGGCGAGGCCGAAAGGCGUAGUCGAUGGGAAACGGGUUAAUAUUCCCGUACUUGGUGUUACUGCGAAGGGGGGACGGAGAAGGCUAUGUUGGCCGGGCGACGGUUGUCCCGGUUUAAGCGUGUAGGUGUGUGUUCCAGGUAAAUCCGGUUCACUUUAACACUGAGGCGUGACGACGAGGCACUACGGUGCUGAAGCAACAAAUGCCCUGCUUCCAGGAAAAGCCUCUAAGCAUCAGGUAACAUCAAAUCGUACCCCAAACCGACACAGGUGGUCAGGUAGAGAAUACCAAGGCGCUUGAGAGAACUCGGGUGAAGGAACUAGGCAAAAUGGUGCCGUAACUUCGGGAGAAGGCACGCUGAUAUGUAGGUGAAGUGAUUUACUCAUGGAGCUGAAAUCAGUCGAAGAUACCAGCUGGCUGCAACUGUUUAUUAAAAACACAGCACUGUGCAAACACGAAAGUGGACGUAUACGGUGUGACGCCUGCCCGGUGCCGGAAGGUUAAUUGAUGGGGUCAGCGCAAGCGAAGCUCCUGAUCGAAGCCCCGGUAAACGGCGGCCGUAACUAUAACGGUCCUAAGGUAGCGAAAUUCCUUGUCGGGUAAGUUCCGACCUGCACGAAUGGCGUAAUGAUGGCCAGGCUGUCUCCACCCGAGACUCAGUGAAAUUGAACUCGCUGUGAAGAUGCAGUGUACCCGCGGCAAGACGGAAAGACCCCGUGAACCUUUACUAUAGCUUGACACUGAACAUUGAGCCUUGAUGUGUAGGAUAGGUGGGAGGCUUUGAAGCGUGGACGCCAGUCUGCGUGGAGCCGACCUUGAAAUACCACCCUUUAAUGUUUGAUGUUCUAACGUGGACCCGUUACCCGGGUUGCGGACAGUGUCUGGUGGGUAGUUUGACUGGGGCGGUCUCCUCCUAAAGAGUAACGGAGGAGCACGAAGGUUGGCUAAUCCUGGUCGGACAUCAGGAGGUUAGUGCAAUGGCAUAAGCCAGCUUGACUGCGAGCGUGACGGCGCGAGCAGGUGCGAAAGCAGGUCAUAGUGAUCCGGUGGUUCUGAAUGGAAGGGCCAUCGCUCAACGGAUAAAAGGUACUCCGGGGAUAACAGGCUGAUACCGCCCAAGAGUUCAUAUCGACGGCGGUGUUUGGCACCUCGAUGUCGGCUCAUCACAUCCUGGGGCUGAAGUAGGUCCCAAGGGUAUGGCUGUUCGCCAUUUAAAGUGGUACGCGAGCUGGGUUUAGAACGUCGUGAGACAGUUCGGUCCCUAUCUGCCGUGGGCGCUGGAGAACUGAGGGGGGCUGCUCCUAGUACGAGAGGACCGGAGUGGACGCAUCACUGGUGUUCGGGUUGUCAUGCCAAUGGCACUGCCCGGUAGCUAAAUGCGGAAGAGAUAAGUGCUGAAAGCAUCUAAGCACGAAACUUGCCCCGAGAUGAGUUCUCCCUGAGACUUAGAGUCUCCUGAAGGAACGUUGAAGACGACGACGUUGAUAGGCCGGGUGUGUAAGCGCAGCGAUGCGUUGAGCUAACCGGUACUAAUGAACCGUGAGGCUUAACCUU
RNAcentral lists this ribosomal RNA (2906 nucleotides) under Salmonella enterica. Its description in RNAcentral is "bacterial LSU rRNA". It matches the Rfam family "Bacterial large subunit ribosomal RNA". Lineage: Bacteria; Pseudomonadati; Pseudomonadota; Gammaproteobacteria; Enterobacterales; Enterobacteriaceae. The record is from RNAcentral.